RNAcentral lists this ribosomal RNA (552 nucleotides) under Alpheus roseodigitalis. Its description in RNAcentral is "partial small subunit ribosomal RNA". Lineage: Eukaryota; Metazoa; Arthropoda; Malacostraca; Decapoda; Alpheidae. The record is from RNAcentral.
GGGCGACUGAAAGAGGUUUGUGAAAGAGUAUGGGGAUUUGGACAGAGCCGGUUUUGUUAAGUUUAAAGGGUGAAAUUUAUUAGAUGUCGGUAAAUUUGGCUCGAGAACGAAGAUCCUGAUUUUCUGAAGUCCAGGUGGUAAAAUAGGAUUAGAGACCCUACUAUACUUGGUUUUAAUUGAAUGAUCUUUGAGUAGUAAACAGUUAUAACCUCGAAACUCAAAGGAUUUGGCGGUAUCUAAGUCUGGUUAGAGGAAUUUGUGCAGUAAACGAUAAUCCGCGAGAAUCUAGCCUUACCUUGUAAAGGUCAGUUUGUAUACCGCCAUUAUUAGAUAAUCUUAUAUAAAGAGUUGUUGAAAUCAAGAAUUAGUUGAGUAUAUUAGGUCAAGGUGCAGCUUAUGGUAAGGAUGUCAUGAAUUACAUUGAUAAUAAGUGUUAAACGAAUAAGUUCUGGUUGUGGAGCUUUGAAGGUGGAUUUAAUUGUAAAAGAUGUGAAUUUUGCUUGUUUGGUAAAAGCUCUUGGAUAUGUACACAUCGCCCGUCGUUCUCACUCU